GAGCCAACACCUUUGGCUUUUUCUCUAGAAAUUUCUGGGGAACUUCGAACCGCCUUAAAUUCCGACACUUUUAGCUCCGAUUUGUGCAAAUUUCUUACUUUUUCUUCGAACCACAUGAGCGUCCAGAAGAUUGUCCCGACGAUUGGGUUGUCCUUUAUGUUUACCCUUUUAAAGUAGGUCUUAGGCUACCCUUUCCACCCAUAGUCAGAGAUCUUCUGCAAGUUUUCCAAAUUAGCUCGGGAAAGAUAAUGCAUGGGGGGUCCUUAGCGUCGUUGAUGGAGCAACAUCCACCUGGGACAAAUAUUUCACCCUUUAGGACUUUAUGUACUGCUAUGCGAUUAGGGUUAAAGGGAAAAACAGGUUAGCCUUACACGCCAGAGCGAAAAGAAACGCGCUAGUCGAAGGGGUACCGUCGAACGACAGAGGCUGGAAGAAUCGUUACAUCUUUGUGAAAAAAUCGUCUCUUGGUGAUUGAGGGAGUUCCUUAAUCGAAGGUUGAAAUAUAGAAGAUUUGGACCCAAAACUGCUAGUACGCAAUGAAGUAUCAGAAAAAGGUGCAGGGAGUUCUUAGAAUUUGGUGAAGAAGAAUGAUCGUUCAAGAAAAUUGUUGUUGUUGACCAAGGCUGUUGCUCCUCAAUGGCGUCAGAUUCUUCGCAAUCACGACAGAGGGGAUCUACGGACGGUCGUGCCCUAGCUAAGGGUCUUAGAAAGAGAAAGAGGGGGAACAGAACAUUCUACUGCGUCAUCUACCACAACGUCUGACAAACAGAGACAUCAUGAUGUCGUCCACGUCGAGGAUGACGACGCUGCCAUUAUCACCAAAAAGUUCGUAAGUCUGAAUUAUCUGCCCCUCAUGACAAAGACGGACUAUCAUACUCCGUGACAGCUCCUAACUAUUUUAUGUCGUCAAACAAGUCAAUCUGGCCUGAAGCGGAGAAAUUCCUCUUUCUGGAGCUGAGGAUCGUUUGCGAGACCGUCUUACGCCAGGGUUAAUGUCAGAUGGUUUAGAGAUGAUAUUCAAGGUGUCAUAGUGACUCAUACUCUUGUUUUUUUUUUUUUACCUCUGUUCAUAAUGAUUUCUAACUGUGGUCUUUGUGCACCAGGCUCGUCGCAACAUUUUUUAAUGGUUAAGAAGGAGAUAUAAUCGCUUUACCAAAGCCUGAUGUGAUGAGAAGAAUGAAGCGGUUUUGAAAGAGAAGGACGCAGAAAUAAAGAGGGUUUGUCUUGAAAUGACAAAGGUGACAAAGGCUCUGAAGAAGAACGGGGAUGAACUAGAGGGUCUAAGGAAGAAGGCUCCAGACGUUGAAGAGGCCUCACGGAUUGAAAUUGAGGCGUUACAGGUACAAGUCGCUGCGCAAAAGAACGAGCUGGAUGGAAUGGAAGUUUAGGUGACCACAACGAUCAGGGCCAAACUUAUGUAUGAAUAUAUAAUGGGGCGUAAGUGUAGUGGGAACGUCAUAAGGAAAUUUAUCUGUACCUCAAAUGGGUAGGCUCGAUGAAGGACUUGAUGAGACAGAACGAUCUGGUUAAAACGAAUGCAGAGUCUUCUCUGAGUGUUGGUCAGCAAGAGGAUGAUGUCUUUGCUACAAGUGCAACAUUGAUGACGUAUGACAUUUCACAGGACAACGAUUCAGAGAUGGGAAUUGUGCCUGUUCCAGUAUGGAAUAAAUGCUGAUGGAUGACAGGCUAAAGUCGUAUCGCCAAACCAAAAUUAAUCCUAAAGUCCUCUAACAAAUAAUAGUCAGGGAAGUAGGGUCGAAUCCACAGGGAAAAACAGUGUUCUUUUCCUAAUUGUCGAUCAAAUCUAGAUUAUAGGGAACAAGUGUUGUUGGUCAUUACACUAAACUAGACAAUAACUAAAUCAGGAAUAUCAAUAAUAAAAAGCCUAGGGUAUGGGUUAACUAGUGAACAAUAAUUCCAGGAUGAAACACAACAAUCAAUAAUUAAUAAUGCAGUUAAACAGGUUAAUUUGUUCUCUCGAAUCGAAAUCAACCAUAGAAUAAUAUUAACAAGCUCUC
Beta vulgaris subsp. vulgaris (sugar beet) is the source of this 2018-nucleotide long non-coding RNA. RefSeq lists it as uncharacterized. The transcript has 3 exons. The record is from RefSeq and is a predicted model, not a curated record. Lineage: Eukaryota; Viridiplantae; Streptophyta; Magnoliopsida; Caryophyllales; Amaranthaceae.